Molecule: non-coding RNA, 23 nt
Filed under: Arabidopsis thaliana (thale cress)
Lineage: Eukaryota; Viridiplantae; Streptophyta; Magnoliopsida; Brassicales; Brassicaceae
Source: RNAcentral
GGGAUCCGGUGCAUUAGUGCUGG